GUGAAUCAUCAAAUUUUUGAACGCAAAUUGCACUUUCUGGUAUUCCGGAAAGUAUGCCUGUUUGAGGGUCAGUUAAAUAAAAAUCGGAGUGGUUGCUGACUUUAGUGGUGACGCGGCGGGAUGGGGACGUCUGACCUGCGGUUAAGUGAAUUAAAAGUUUUGAAUGAAAUUCGAACGUAUUUAAAUCGCUUAAGUACGGGUGAGAUAUCGAAAGCGUAUUAGGUUCGG
Molecule: unclassified non-coding RNA, 228 nt
Filed under: Glomus sp.
Lineage: Eukaryota; Fungi; Glomeromycota; Glomeromycetes; Glomerales; Glomeraceae
Description: partial contains 5.8S ribosomal RNA and internal transcribed spacer 2
Rfam family: 5.8S ribosomal RNA (bases 1-71)
Source: RNAcentral